UGAUCAGUUUGAUUAAUACUGGUUGUUGUGCUUUCAAUCAAUGGCAUCACUGUUUAGAUAAUUUAAUUGCGAAUAAUUGUGGGAAUAAUGCAAUGGAAGCAAUAAAUAAUUUAAUUGAAAAAGCAUCGGGAGGUUUUGUCUACAAUUUAUGUACUAAAGACGGCUAUAAUCCGGGA
Molecule: long non-coding RNA, 176 nt
Organism: Oppia nitens
Lineage: Eukaryota; Metazoa; Arthropoda; Arachnida; Sarcoptiformes; Oppiidae
Exons: 3
Source: RefSeq, a predicted model, not a curated record